CGCCCGCUCAGAAACUUAAAUGAAUUGACGGGGGCCCGCACAAGCAGCGGAGCGUGUGGUUUAAUUCGAUGAUACACGAAGAACCUUACCCAGGCUUGACAUGUUGGUAGUAGGGAUCCGAAAGGUGACCGACCCUUCGGGGAGCCUUCACAGGUGCUGCAUGGCUGUCGUCAGCUCAUGUCGUGAGAUGUCCGGUUAAGUCCGGUAACGAGCGCAACCCUCGCUGUGUGUUAUAUGUGUCACACGGGACUGCCGGUAUCAAGCCGGAGGAAGGUGGGGAUGACGUCAAGUCAGCAUGGCCUUUAUGUCUGGGGCUACACACACGCUACAAUGGCCAGUACAAUAGGUUGCAAGACCGCGAGGUGGAGCCAAUCCCCAAAGCCGGCCUCAGUUCAGAUUGCAGGCUGCAACUCGCCUGCAUGAAGCUGGAGUUGCUAGUAAACGCGCGUCAGCUAUAGUGCGUUGAAUACGUUCUCGGGCCUU
RNAcentral lists this ribosomal RNA (483 nucleotides) under uncultured Anaerolineaceae bacterium. RNAcentral's name for it is "bacterial SSU rRNA". It matches the Rfam family "Bacterial small subunit ribosomal RNA", at positions 887 to 1382 of the family's 1533-position model. The record is from RNAcentral. Lineage: Bacteria; Bacillati; Chloroflexota; Anaerolineae; Anaerolineales; Anaerolineaceae.